Molecule: long non-coding RNA, 2106 nt
Filed under: Homo sapiens (human)
Lineage: Eukaryota; Metazoa; Chordata; Mammalia; Primates; Hominidae
Description: HSALNT0359788
Source: RNAcentral
GCACGCGCGCUACGUCCCUCAGACUGGCUGCCCCCGAGGGUUCGCGUGAGCGGAGCACGGGGCUCGGGGUGCGGGGGGCUGGUGUGAUGGACGCAUUUGUUCUUCGGUCCCUGACGAUUGUUUCUCAUUUGCCCUCCAAGCCCCAAAUCCUGUCAGUCCACGGCCUUGAUGGAGCGGCCCCCGUGGGACGACCCUGUUGAUUGUGCUAGCGGAUGUUGUCUCCAUUCUGGAUCUGGGAAAAACUGUGGAGUGAAAGCCGGACCUGUUAGGGUUGGGACCUGAAAGCGGACUUUUUCGCUCUCAGACGGGCCCCAGGAAUUUCAUGUUUAACAGAGGUGUCUUCAAGGAGAUGAAACAAUUCAGAAUGACCUAGGCAAUGGGGUAAUUCCUAAGGAACAAGCUAUUCAUUCAUACAGCAUGGACGAAUAUUAAAUGCAUGUUGCUGAGUGAAAGAAGCCAGAAUGAUAAGGCUACAUCCUGGAAAAGUUUAUAUUCUGGAAAAGGCAAAACUUAUAGAGACAGAAACAAAUCAGCCAGUUGUUGCUGGGGUUUGGGAGAGAAGAAUGUUGACUAUGUGAAGAACAAGGGAUCUUGGGGGGCAUCUAUUCCAUAUGCUACUGUAGGGGUGGAUGCAUGAUACUAUCAUUUGUGGAAAACCAUAGAACUUUACAAAACUAACAGUGAACCUUAAUGUCUGCAAAAUUUUACAAAAUCAACUAGGAGGCUGGGGGAUCCCAGGAUGAAAUACAGGCAAUGACAAAAGAGCCUAACUCUAUUACACAUUUAUAACAUAACCGCACCGAAGAGGACUGGUAUUCUAUAACUGUGGAAAUAAUGGAAACUGGAAAACUGAAGACAAAAGGAACUGUACUUAGCACUAUACUCUAGUUGGUAAAGGCGUUUCUCAAGGGGUACCAGUUAACAAUUCUGAGACUGCUGUACAUGUAUGCAGAGACUGAACAAAUAAGUAAAUGGCUGGUACAUGCUCACUCUCAGGGAGGGAGGCCACAGAUAAACAAGAGGAAGAGGCUCUAAUGUCAUGUGUGGUUGUGGAUUAGAACCAGAAACAUAAAUAUGAACUCAUGUUUAGAUUAAUAUAGAUAUUAAUGGAUUGAUAUAGAAAUAAUGAUGAUAUGGGUAUAUAUACAGGUUAGUAUACAGUCAUAUAUUUCUUAUCCCUAUCCACUGAGAGGGCCUAGAAACAACAAUACUCCAGUAGCAACACACACAUCUCGUGCCCAUAUCUUGAUUUCUUUUGCCAUUUCCUAACAAAAGGAGCCAGGACUUCUUGGAGAAAUGGCUGAUUCUAAGACUGGGUCAGAGAGUAUACCAGAUGACGCUGGCACAUCUUCUACUGCUAGAAAGUAAGGAAAUGCUCAAAAAAUAAAACCACGGAGAUAUUUCAAAGGAACACAGAAGCCAAGUGGAACAGCUCCCAGUGGCCAAAGCUGGAAAAAUUGGGGCAAAAAAAAAAAAAAAAGUAUUAGGUUAUAAUCCAAAAUAUAAAAUAAAUAAUCACCAGCCCGUACUAAUGUGCAUAAAUUAUUGAAUAAAUAAGUAAAUGGGUGAAAAGAGAAAACUCUCUCCCAUACAAAGGAAGCCCAAAUAAUUUAUGUAGAUGAUCGCCCUGCAAUGAGGCAGAGGGCAACUCCCUACCCUGUGUUAAGUGUGGAUGGCACUUAGAGACUUGCUUCUGAAGAGCGCAAUACGGAAAGGAGGGGAGAAGUAACUUGGCAAUGAAGAAACCUGACAAACACCAUCUUCUCCAGGCAGCCAAGGUUAACACCAUCAGUGAUAAGUUACGUUGAUAGCCUGUAUUUUUGAUAUGAUGUGUUGAGAAUGUACUUAGUUUCUGUGGUCUUCUUCCCAAACACCUGACACCAGGCUCACCAGGAGAAAAUGAAUCCAAAUUAAGGGACAUUCUACAGAAUACCUGACCAACACUCCCUCCUAAAAACUGUCAAGGUCAUCAAGGAAUGUCUAGGAAGAAGGAAAGUCUGAGAAGUUGUCUCAGCCCAGAGGAGCCUUAAGAAGCCAUGACAGGUAGGGCGCGGUGGCUCACGCCUGUAAUCCCAGCACUUUGGGAGGUCGAGGUGGGCGGAUCAC